GACAUCAGGAGGUUAGUGCAAUGGCAUAAGCCAGCUUGACUGCGAGCGUGACGGCGCGAGCAGGUGCGAAAGCAGGUCAUAGUGAUCCGGUGGUUCUGAAUGGAAGGGCCAUCGCUCAACGGAUAAAAGGUACUCCGGGGAUAACAGGCUGAUACCGCCCAAGAGUUCAUAUCGACGGCGGUGUUUGGCACCUCGAUGUCGGCUCAUCACAUCCUGGGGCUGAAGUAGGUCCCAAGGGUAUGGCUGUUCGCCAUUUAAAGUGGUACGCGAGCUGGGUUUAGAACGUCGUGAGACAGUUCGGUCCCUAUCUGCCGUGGGCGCUGGAAGAUUGAGGGGGGCUGCUCCUAGUACGAGAGGACCGGAGUGGACGCAUCACUGGUGUUCGGGUUGUCAUGCCAAUGGCACUGCCCGGUAGCUAAAUGCGGAAAAGAUAAGUGCUGAAAGCAUCUAAGCACGAAACUUGCCCCGAGAUGAGUCUUCCCUGAGACUUUGAGUCUCCUGAAGGAACGUUAAAGACGAUGACGUUGAUAGGCCGGGUGUGUAAGCGCAGCGAUGCGUUGAGCUAACCGGUACUAAUGAACCGUGAGG
Molecule: ribosomal RNA, 588 nt
Filed under: Salmonella enterica
Lineage: Bacteria; Pseudomonadati; Pseudomonadota; Gammaproteobacteria; Enterobacterales; Enterobacteriaceae
Description: partial 23S ribosomal RNA
Rfam family: Bacterial large subunit ribosomal RNA
Source: RNAcentral